Molecule: long non-coding RNA, 622 nt
Organism: Capsicum annuum
Lineage: Eukaryota; Viridiplantae; Streptophyta; Magnoliopsida; Solanales; Solanaceae
Exons: 4
Source: RefSeq, a predicted model, not a curated record
AUCAAUUCCCAAUUACCUCUUUCACUCUCUAAGCCACGUCUCUCUCUAAGCUAGGGCUCCUAAACUUGACAACUUUCAGCGUUCUAUGUCAAAAAUUGACGACGGUGGAGUGUUAACGGCGGCGAUGAAUGACGGUAUUGAAGGUGAAUCAAGAAAUUUCCAUCUUCACUGAUUCAAGGUGAUUUUUUUUCAGGUGGUUAAUAAAGAAAAUCAAUGGCAUCAAAAGGUCAUGGUAAUAGAUGGCGUAAGAAAGGAAUAUGAAAAUGGGGGAAAAGAGUGCCCUUUUAUUGAUGUCUACGAAGAAACGCAUAGGAAGAAAAACAAGGACGGUACAAGAGGAGAUUGGGUAGAAACGCAUGCUAAGAAUGCAUAUUAAGAAUUUCAAAAAAGCAUAGAAGAGUGGCGUCAAACACAACUAUGAGGAAGAUAAUGAAUCUGAUGAUAAUUAGAUUGUAGUUAUUGUUCUUGUUUUUGGUUGUGACAUUUAGAUGUUUAAAUUAUUUGAUUUGAUGUUUGUUUUGAAUGGUUUAAAGUGGUUGUAUUUAUAAAUUUUUGUUCUGUUUGAUCCUAUUGUGAAAAACAUAUUAGUUAUGUCGUUUAUAAUCUAAAAGUUGUGAAAUCA